This 406-nucleotide ribosomal RNA is filed under the name uncultured bacterium. RNAcentral describes it as "partial 16S ribosomal RNA". It matches the Rfam family "Bacterial small subunit ribosomal RNA", at positions 28 to 526 of the family's 1533-position model. The record is from RNAcentral.
GCUGAACGCUAGCUACAGGCUUAACACAUGCAAGUCGAGGGACCGGCGCACGGGUGAGUACCACGUAUCCAACCUGCCCUUUACUCGGGGCUAGCCUUUCGAAAGAAAGAUUAAUACCCGAUGUAAAGGAUGGGGAUGCGUUCCAUUAGGUUGUUGGUGAGGUAACGGCUCACCAAGCCUUCGAUGGAUAGGGGUUCUGAGAGGAAGGGCCCACACAUUGGAACGGAGACACGGUCCAAACUCCUACGGGAGGAAGCAGUGAGGAAUAUUGGUCAAGGGGCGUUAGCCUGAACCAGCCAAGUAGCGUGAAGGAUGAAGGCUUAUGGGUCGUAAACUUCUUUUAUAUAAGAAUAUGUAUUAUAUGAAUAAGGAUCGGCUAACUCCGUGCCAGCAGCCGCGGUAAUUC